UUGGGAAUAUUGGACAAUGGGCGAAAGCCUGAUCCAGCCAUGCCGCGUGAGUGAUGAAGGCCUUAGGGUUGUAAAGCUCUUUUACCCGGGAUGAUAAUGACAGUACCGGGAGAAUAAGCCCCGGCUAACUCCGUGCCAGCAGCCGCGGUAAUACGGAGGGGGCUAGCGUUGUUCGGAAUUACUGGGCGUAAAGCGCGCGUAGGCGGCUUUGUAAGUUAGAGGUGAAAGCCCGAAGCUCAACUUCGGAAUUGCCUUUAAGACUGCAUCGCUAGAAUCGUGGAGAGGUGAGUGGAAUUCCGAGUGUAGAGGUGAAAUUCGUAGAUAUUCGGAAGAACACCAGUGGCGAAGGCGACUCACUGGACACGUAUUGACGCUGAGGUGCGAAAGCGUGGGGAGCAAACA
RNAcentral lists this ribosomal RNA (402 nucleotides) under uncultured Sphingomonas sp. RNAcentral's name for it is "bacterial SSU rRNA". It matches the Rfam family "Bacterial small subunit ribosomal RNA", at positions 355 to 774 of the family's 1533-position model. Lineage: Bacteria; Pseudomonadati; Pseudomonadota; Alphaproteobacteria; Sphingomonadales; Sphingomonadaceae. The record is from RNAcentral.